This 28-nucleotide non-coding RNA is filed under the name Mus musculus (house mouse). The record is from RNAcentral. Lineage: Eukaryota; Metazoa; Chordata; Mammalia; Rodentia; Muridae.
UGACAAGAUGCAGGUACUACGGCACUCC